AUUGAACGCUGGCGGCAGGCCUAACACAUGCAAGUCGAGCGGAGCGGCGGACGGGUGAGUAAUGCCUAGGUAUCUGCCUGGUAGUGGGGGAUAACGUCCGGCAACGGGCGCUAAUACCGCAUACUCUCAGCUGAGCCUAGGGCGGAUUAGCUAGUUGGUGGGGUAAAGGCCUACCAAGGCGAAGAUCAGUAACUGUUAUGAGAGGAUGCUCAGUCAAACUGGAACUGAGACACGGUCCAGACUCCUACGGGAGGCAGCAGUGGGGAAUAUUGGACAAUGGGCGAAAGCCUGAUGCAGCCAUGCCGCGUGUGUGAAGAAGGUCUUAGGAUUGUAAAGCACUUUAAGUUGGGAGGCGUUACCCGCAGAAGAAGCACCGGCUAACUCCGUGCCAGCAGCCGCGGUAAUUC
RNAcentral lists this ribosomal RNA (407 nucleotides) under uncultured bacterium. RNAcentral's name for it is "partial 16S ribosomal RNA". It matches the Rfam family "Bacterial small subunit ribosomal RNA", at positions 30 to 526 of the family's 1533-position model. The record is from RNAcentral.